CGGCGAGGGAAGUCGGUGGUGACGCCAAUGUAGGUGCGGGGGAUCUAGGAGAAGGCUACACGAACCACGGCAGCAGCGCCUUGUGCCUUGUUUAGUUCACCCCGAAAACCAAAAAGUUUUCAAGAUUUUCCGUCACAUCGAAUCUUGCGACAUAUGCAUGAAGUAUUAAAUAUAGACAAAAACAAAAACUAAUUACACAGUUUGCUUGUAAA
RNAcentral lists this long non-coding RNA (212 nucleotides) under Sorghum bicolor (sorghum). RNAcentral describes it as "long non-coding RNA (SBIC_LNC015397)". Lineage: Eukaryota; Viridiplantae; Streptophyta; Magnoliopsida; Poales; Poaceae. The record is from RNAcentral.